CCUACGGGAGUCAGCAGUGGGGAAUAUUGCACAAUGGGGGAAACCCUGAUGCAGCAACGCCGCGUGAGUGAAGACAGCUUUCGGAUUGUAAACUUCUUUUCAUAGGGAAGAAUAGUAGCGGUAGCUAAUGGACAAGCCCACGCUAACUACGUGCCAGCAGCCACCGUAAUACGUAGGUGGCAAGCGUUGUCCGGAAUUACUGGGUGUAAAGGGAGCGCAGGCGGGAAGACAAGUCCGCUGUGAAAACUACGGGCUUAACCUGUAGACUGCAGUUGAAACUGGUUUUCUUGAGUGAAGUAGAGGUUGGCGGAAUUCCGAGUGUAGCGGUGAAAUGCGUAGAUAUUCGGAGGAACACCGGUGGCGAAGGCGGCCAACUGGGCUUUAACUGACGCUGAGGCUCGAAAGUGUGGGGAGCAAACAGGAUUAGAUACCCUGGUAGUC
This 441-nucleotide ribosomal RNA is filed under the name uncultured bacterium. RNAcentral's name for it is "partial 16S ribosomal RNA". It matches the Rfam family "Bacterial small subunit ribosomal RNA", at positions 338 to 795 of the family's 1533-position model. The record is from RNAcentral.